AGAUAAAGAUAUUUAAAGCAGGUUUAGUCAUUAUUCCUGAGGUAUGACUUCAUUAUUGCAAGUUGGAAUCACAUAGUUUUAGAGCCGAGUUAGAUCAAACUGAAACUUACCCAAUAGUCCCACAGACAGAUCUUUUUGAAAAACAUAGAAAUUGACCCUCCUGGUCUUAAAGUGUGAAACUUAUAUUUGUUUUAUCUAAGUUCCUUCCUCAGGACAGGACCUUCAGGCUUCUAAAAAAGUAUAAAAGAAUGGAAACUCACCAGAUCACUGCAGC
RNAcentral lists this long non-coding RNA (274 nucleotides) under Pan troglodytes (chimpanzee). RNAcentral's name for it is "long non-coding RNA NONPTRT012596". The record is from RNAcentral. Lineage: Eukaryota; Metazoa; Chordata; Mammalia; Primates; Hominidae.